This 335-nucleotide long non-coding RNA is filed under the name Felis catus (domestic cat). RNAcentral describes it as "lncRNA (ENSFCAG00000046238.2)". Lineage: Eukaryota; Metazoa; Chordata; Mammalia; Carnivora; Felidae. The record is from RNAcentral.
AGAAGAAAAAAAGAGAAAUCACUUUUUGGGGUACGGGUUGUGUAAGGAGGACACGAGACAGAGAAAGUAGAAUCACGUGCCUUCUGUUUCAUGUUUCUUGUUUGUCCCUCCCUGUCUUUCUCACUAGUGGCCAGAGGUCCUGAGGGGUAGAAAUUCCCACCCGAGAAGCCUGCCUGCUUGCAUCCUGUUCUCCCUCUAUCCUGGACAUGUCAAUGCCUUCAAGUAAGAAUGAAUACGUAAUCUCACUCUCAGCUUUUCCAUACAUCUCUGGACACUUUCCUCUGGAAAUCCCAAAGUGCCACACGAGGUGGAGCUUCCUCCUCCUCAUGCAAUAA